Molecule: ribosomal RNA, 438 nt
Filed under: uncultured bacterium
Lineage: Bacteria
Description: partial 16S ribosomal RNA
Rfam family: Bacterial small subunit ribosomal RNA
Source: RNAcentral
CUACGGUGGCACCAGUGGGGAAUAUUGCACAAUGGACGAAAGUCUGAUGCAGCAACGCCGCGUGGAGGAUGACACAUUUCGGUGCGUAAACUCCUUUUAUAUAGGAAGAUAAUGACGGUACUAUAUGAAUAAGCACCGGCUAACUCCGUGCCAGCAGCCGCGGUAAUACGGAGGGUGCAAGCGUUACUCGGAAUUACUGGGCGUAAAGAGCGUGUAGGCGGAUAGAUAAGUUGGAAGUGAAAUCCUAUGGCUCAACCAUAGAACUGCUUCCAAAACUGUCUAUCUAGAAUGUGGGAGAGGUAGAUGGAAUUUCUGGUGUAGGGGUAACAUCCGUAGAGAUCAGAAGGAAUACCGAUUGCGAAGGCGAUCUACUGGAACAUAAUUGACGCUGAGACGCGAAAGCGUGGGGAGCAAACAGGAUUAGAUACCCUCGUAGUC